Molecule: transfer RNA, 87 nt
Filed under: compost metagenome
Description: tRNA-Leu
Rfam family: tRNA
About the family: Transfer RNA (tRNA) molecules are approximately 80 nucleotides in length. Their secondary structure includes four short double-helical elements and three loops (D, anti-codon, and T loops). Further hydrogen bonds mediate the characteristic L-shaped molecular structure. tRNAs have two regions of fundamental functional importance: the anti-codon, which is responsible for specific mRNA codon recognition, and the 3' end, to which the tRNAs corresponding amino acid is attached (by aminoacyl-tRNA synthetases). tRNAs cope with the degeneracy of the genetic code in two manners: having more than one tRNA (with a specific anti-codon) for a particular amino acid; and 'wobble' base-pairing, i.e. permitting non-standard base-pairing at the 3rd anti-codon position.
Source: RNAcentral
GCCCGAGUGGUGAAAUCGGUAGACACAAGGGAUUUAAAAUCCCUCGACGUUCGCGUCGUGCCGGUUCGAUUCCGGCCUCAGGCACCA